Mus musculus (house mouse) is the source of this 883-nucleotide long non-coding RNA. RefSeq annotates it as predicted gene, 52391. The transcript has 2 exons. NCBI's taxonomy places the organism in Eukaryota, Metazoa, Chordata, Mammalia, Rodentia, Muridae. The record is from RefSeq and is a predicted model, not a curated record.
GUAUAAAAUAAACAUCUAACCAAUCACUUUUCAUGCCUUAUUUAAUCCUUAAGGCAGUUCUUCGAGGUAGCUACAAUUACUACCCCUGUUUUAUGCACAAGUAAACAGAGAUUUAGAGACUCUGGUUCUGUUCUGGCAAGUACCUCUCCCAGUACAGUGUUGAGCAACAGGCUUGGAAAUGCUGGCUUUCUUAUCUUUCUUCUGAACUCACAGAAGAACCCCCAUUUUAAUCAUACACAUGGUGGCUGUGUGUUUUUGUAGAUAUGCGUUAUCAAGUUAGGAAAACUCCUCUCUAGUAUUCGUUUGCUCAAGAGCAUUUUUAUCACAAAGUCAUUUAAAGAGACAAAAGACAAGCCACAGUCAGUCUAGCAGACACGGGUAGGGUAACACUGCCACAAAGGACUAAUAGGCAGAACCUCACCCAAAAGGAGAUCAAAACCUCAAAACUGAGACUCAGUAAUUAACCGAAAGGAAUCCCCAAGCGCCAUGUGGUUAACAGCGAUACUCGACCACGGUGGCUUCAUUCCUAAAUGGCUCCAAACUCAGACAAACCGACUGUCCACCUAAUGUAGAGCAGCCCACGGAAAGCUUACACCGGUUUUGAACAGUGGGAAGAAUGAAAAGUUCUUGGGGUUUUGUGCGUUCUGGAGAAGAGAAGAGUGAUCCAUGUCUGUCCUGCGGUUUGUGGAGUGAGGCCCACGGGGACAGUCUCCAGGGGCUAAGUCACGACAAACAGCUCUCUCAAACCGCUACGACUCUUCCAUGAAAUGCGUAGAGUGACGAGGAAUUCGGGUUAAGCAGAGCUAACUUCUUCCAGGUUCUAAUGGUAGCAUUGGUUGCCCCUCAAAUAAUAAAAUGAUCUAUGUUCCUGCUUCCUUCCUCA